GUGCUGUGAAUUUCCAGACAUUGUAAGUGAUCUACUUCCUGUCAUUGCUGCUUCUAUGGACGAUGUCUACACCUUUAUUAAACAGACUGUACGUAAUGAGAUCCAAUCAAUAUCGAUUACCUCGUUUCGAAUUUCGACAUCAUCCAUUACUUCGAUUUCCCGCGCACACUCGGUCUGGACGCGCGUGUCUGUCGACCAAAAUAUCCAACUGGCUGGAUACGGGUUUUGUGGCCGGACACGCCCCAUAAGACAACUUAGGGCAAUUUCGAAGAGACAACAGCCACCGAAAAGCUUAUCUCAAAGUCGUUUCCAGGCGCUGCGAAAUCCACUCGUUUGGUACCAGCCUUAGGGUUAGUUCCCACCAAGCUGCGAGGGGCGAUGGGCGAAGCGAACUGACGUCAUGACUGGCGAUGCACAGAGAACUUGGG
RNAcentral lists this long non-coding RNA (428 nucleotides) under Androctonus crassicauda. The record is from RNAcentral. Lineage: Eukaryota; Metazoa; Arthropoda; Arachnida; Scorpiones; Buthidae.